This 73-nucleotide transfer RNA is filed under the name Ophiarachnella gorgonia. RNAcentral describes it as "tRNA-Leu". It matches the Rfam family "tRNA". From Rfam's summary of the family: Transfer RNA (tRNA) molecules are approximately 80 nucleotides in length. Their secondary structure includes four short double-helical elements and three loops (D, anti-codon, and T loops). Further hydrogen bonds mediate the characteristic L-shaped molecular structure. tRNAs have two regions of fundamental functional importance: the anti-codon, which is responsible for specific mRNA codon recognition, and the 3' end, to which the tRNAs corresponding amino acid is attached (by aminoacyl-tRNA synthetases). tRNAs cope with the degeneracy of the genetic code in two manners: having more than one tRNA (with a specific anti-codon) for a particular amino acid; and 'wobble' base-pairing, i.e. permitting non-standard base-pairing at the 3rd anti-codon position. Lineage: Eukaryota; Metazoa; Echinodermata; Ophiuroidea; Amphilepidida; Ophiodermatidae. The record is from RNAcentral.
AUUAAAGAAGUUAAAUUGGUCUAACAAGGAGCCUAAAAUUCCUGGGAAAGGGGUUCGAUUCCUCUCUUUAAUU